RNAcentral lists this long non-coding RNA (971 nucleotides) under Brassica rapa (field mustard). Its description in RNAcentral is "long non-coding RNA (BRAP_LNC003585)". Lineage: Eukaryota; Viridiplantae; Streptophyta; Magnoliopsida; Brassicales; Brassicaceae. The record is from RNAcentral.
GUGAAUCAAGUACAACAAUCAAACAACAUAAUAAUUUCCACAAAGAAAAUUUAAAAAAUAUAUUUAUGUUAUGUAGUCUUAUUUUAUAUUCUUUAAAUAAUAUAAUACAGUAUUAUACAUUAUAUUUUUUUAGAAUUGAGAAAUACAUAUAAUAUCUUAUCCGCGCGUAGCGCGGUUAAAAAAUCUAGUUCUACUAAAAUUUAGGCAUGACAUGUCAGAAGAUUUCUUGGGAAGUCUUCAAGAAGUCUUCUGUGAGUCUUCCAUACCCUUGAAUCAAAUAACUAAGCUAAAAAACACUUCCUUAAACUUAAAAGAUACUAAAAUAGUGUUUAAAUCUAGUUAUUAGAUAGUCACUAAACACAUAUAGGUCAAAAAAAAAAAAAAGAUAAGAUACCAACAAUACUACAACAUAUGUUACCAAACCCUAUACCAAAGACUAUUAUGACUCAACAUUCACUCAUCUAUGUUGAAAAUAAUUCAAGUUUAAUAAAAAUAAAUUUACAUAAUUUAUAAAUAUUUAUUAUUACAUGAUUUUCAAUUUUUUCCCAUCAAAAUAUUUUUUAUAAAAAAAAUUAAAUUCUAUUUAAGAAUUACUGAACGAGAAGACUUACAAAGAAGUCUUCUCACAUGGAGGGUUAUAAUGCUAAAAUUCAAUACAUGUUUUUUGUUUUUUCAUAAGGAGGUUGUUGUAAUUUCACUAGUCUACCUUUGCACGUUUGCAUUCAAAAUCAAGUUUUGAGUCAUUUUGACAAUUUUCCCUUAUUUUUAUGGAAAUGAAGAUUGGAAAAGGAAGAUGAAGCCGAAGGGAUUCUUGCAAGUUGUACAUAGUUAUAUAUAUAUAAUGUUAUAAAACAUUUUGAGCAAAAUUUGGUUGCAUAAGUUAUUCCUCUUUAUUCGCUUUGCCGACAUCGAAUGAUUUUGAUUCUGUCUAUUGAAGCUCUAAAAGAGAAUGUUAUGUUUUUUACUUCAGC